RNAcentral lists this ribosomal RNA (375 nucleotides) under Triticum aestivum (bread wheat). Its description in RNAcentral is "partial small subunit ribosomal RNA". The record is from RNAcentral. Lineage: Eukaryota; Viridiplantae; Streptophyta; Magnoliopsida; Poales; Poaceae.
AUGGCGCCGGUGGUGAGCGCUUCACUGGGCACGUUGGGUCCCCUCCUGGUGAAGCUCACCGCUUUUCUUGCCGGUGAGUGCGGCUGCCUGAAAGGGGUCCGUCGCGAGAUCCGCUCCCUCAAAUCCGAGCUGACUAGCAUGCAUGCUGCGGUCCAGAAGUACACCAUGCUAGUUGAUCCAGAUGUCGAAGUGAAGGCAUGUAUAUCGCUGGUGAGAGAGCUGGCCUAUGACAUCGAAGAUUGUGUCGACAAGUUCAUUCAUCAGCUUGGCAGUGGCGGGCGCCAUGGAAGCUUCAUGGACUUCUUUCGCAAGACUGCUCACCGUCUAAAGACACUUGGGUCUCGGCGUGGAAUCACAACCAAGUUGAUGAUCUGA